UACAGAGGUGGCAAGCGUUGCUCGGUAUCACUGGGCUUAAAGGGCGCGUAGGCGGUGCGGUACGGUUUCGGUGAAAUCCCUCGGCCCAACCGAGGAACAGCCGGAGCUACGGCCGCGCUAGACGGCAUCAGGGGACAGUGGAACUUCCGGUGGAGCGGUGAAAUGCGUAGAUAUCGGAAGGAACGCCGGUGGCGAAAGCGACUGUCUGGGGUGCCUGUGACGCUGAGGCGCGAAAGCCAGGGGAUCAAACGGG
RNAcentral lists this ribosomal RNA (253 nucleotides) under uncultured bacterium. RNAcentral's name for it is "partial 16S ribosomal RNA". It matches the Rfam family "Bacterial small subunit ribosomal RNA", at positions 524 to 776 of the family's 1533-position model. The record is from RNAcentral.